Molecule: long non-coding RNA, 516 nt
Filed under: Cyanistes caeruleus (blue tit)
Lineage: Eukaryota; Metazoa; Chordata; Aves; Passeriformes; Paridae
Description: lncRNA (ENSCCEG00000017186.1)
Source: RNAcentral
AUGGAUGAGCCUCUGUUCAAAUCCAUCCUUGCAGCCUUGGCUCGUUCUAGAGGUGAUCCAGACGUCUUUGCACUGAAUCAUGGAGCCUUUGGACAGACAGUGCCGCAUAAUCAUAAAGCAGGAGUUGAUCCCUGUGAGGUUUGGUGCAGUCAGCCUGUGGAAAAAUUAAAGGAAUAUUGCAACGUGAGCAAAAUCAGGUUGUUUUGGUCUGUGCUCUUCACCAGGCGAAGCAUUUCCUUUCUAGAUGAAUUUCGUUCAAUGGUCCUGGGUUGGAACAUGGAGGCAAUCCAUGAGUGUGAUAUUUUGGAAGACCUUGCUGAUUUAAUAAAAAAAGUUGUUAACAUCCCACAUUUUAUCAAUGGCAUCCUGAGGAUCGCCACUAGACUAGAAAAUGUGAGUUUCUGGAGUUGUUUGGAAGAUUCCCUGGAGCUCCUCAGGGGAAAUCUUCUGAUCCAUCUUUUUAUUUACAAAAUCCAGUUUCUGGUAGAGCUGAACUCAUUGUAUUUUCCAGCUUGA